GACGGGACCCGCACAAGCAGCGGAGCGUGUGGUUAAUUCGAUGCUACACGAGAACUUACCAAGGUUUGACAUGCAAGUGGUAGUGAUCUGAAAAGUGAACGACCCUUCGGGGAGCUUGCACAGGUGCUGCAUGGCUGUCGUCAGCCCGUGUCGUGAGAUGUUCGGUUAAGUCCGCUAACGAGCGCAGCCCUCACUGUGUGUUAUACGUGUCACACGGGACUGCCGGUUUUAAGCCGAAGGAAGGCGAGGAUGAAGUCAAGUCAGCAUGGCCUUUAUACCUUGGGCUACACACACGCUACAAUGGUCUGUACAACAGGUUGCCAAGCCGCGAGGCGGAGCCAAUCCUAAAAGCAGGCCUCAGUUCAGAUUGUAGGCUGCAACCCGCCUGCAUGAAGAUGGAGUUGCUAGUAACCGCAGGUCAGCUAUACUGCGGUGAAUACGUUCCCGGGUCUU
This 453-nucleotide ribosomal RNA is filed under the name uncultured Anaerolineaceae bacterium. RNAcentral describes it as "bacterial SSU rRNA". It matches the Rfam family "Bacterial small subunit ribosomal RNA", at positions 916 to 1381 of the family's 1533-position model. Lineage: Bacteria; Bacillati; Chloroflexota; Anaerolineae; Anaerolineales; Anaerolineaceae. The record is from RNAcentral.